RNAcentral lists this ribosomal RNA (406 nucleotides) under uncultured bacterium. Its description in RNAcentral is "partial 16S ribosomal RNA". It matches the Rfam family "Bacterial small subunit ribosomal RNA", at positions 29 to 526 of the family's 1533-position model. The record is from RNAcentral.
AUUGAACGCUGGCGGCAGGCUUAACACAUGCAAGUCGAGCGAGCGGCGGACGGGUGAGUAAUGUCUGGGAAACUGCCUGAUGGAGGGGGAUAACUACUGGAAACGGUAGCUAAUACCGCAUACCAUCAGAUGUGCCCAGAUGGGAUUAGCUAGUAGGUGGGGUAAUUGCUCCCCGAGGCGACGAUCCCUAGCUGGUCUGAGAGGAUGACCAGCCACAAUGGAACGGGGACACGGGCCAGCCACCUAAGGGAGGCAGCAGUGGGGAAUAUUGCACAAUGGGCGCAAGCCUGAUGCAGCCAUGCCGCGUGUGUGAAGAAGGCCUUCGGGUUGUAAAGCACGUUCAGCGAGGAGGCGUUACUCGCAGAAGAAGCACCGGCUAACUCCGUGCCAGCAGCCGCGGUAAGUC